AUGGUUUAACUCCCUCCCUUACUA
This 24-nucleotide transfer RNA is filed under the name Columbina cruziana (croaking ground-dove). RNAcentral's name for it is "partial tRNA-Met". The record is from RNAcentral. Lineage: Eukaryota; Metazoa; Chordata; Aves; Columbiformes; Columbidae.